CCCAUAUCAGGGGAUAGCCUCUCGAAAGAGAGAUUAACACCGCAUAACAUCAUUUACCGGCAUCGGUUAAUGAUCAAAUAUUUAUAGGAUAUGGAUGGGCUCGCGUGACAUUAGCUAGUUGGAGGGGUAACGGCCCACCAAGGCUACGAGGUCUAGGGGCUCUGAGAGGAGAAUCCCCCACACUGGUACUGAGACACGGACCAGACUCCUACGGGAGGCAGCAGUAAGGAAUAUUGGUCAAUGGAGGGAACUCUGAACCAGCCAUGCCGCGUGCAGGAUGACUGCCCUAUGGGUUGUAAACUGCUUUUGUCAGGGAAUAAACCUUUCUACGUGUAGGAAGCUGAAUGUACCUGAAGAAUAAGGAUCGGCUAACUCCGUGCCAGCGGCCGCGGUAAUACGGAGGAUCCAAGCGUUAUCCGGAUUUAUUGGGUUUAAAGGGUGCGUAGGCGGUCCUAUAAGUCAGUGGUGAAAGACGGCAGCUUAACUGUCGCAGUGCCUUUGAUACUGUAGGACUUGAAUCUAUUUGAAGUGGGCGGAAUAAGACAAGUAGCGGUGAAAUGCAUAGAUAUGUCUUAGAACUCCGAUUGCGAAGGCAGCUCACUAAGUUAGUAUUGACGCUGAUGCACGAAAGCGUGGGGAUCAAAC
RNAcentral lists this ribosomal RNA (645 nucleotides) under uncultured bacterium. RNAcentral describes it as "bacterial SSU rRNA". It matches the Rfam family "Bacterial small subunit ribosomal RNA", at positions 129 to 773 of the family's 1533-position model. The record is from RNAcentral.